Cydia fagiglandana is the source of this 433-nucleotide long non-coding RNA. RefSeq lists it as uncharacterized. The transcript has 3 exons. The record is from RefSeq and is a predicted model, not a curated record. Lineage: Eukaryota; Metazoa; Arthropoda; Insecta; Lepidoptera; Tortricidae.
AUUUUGACUAAUUUUCGGAAUUAUCUCAUAUUAAAAUAGCUUCUGUGCCACAAAAAUAAACAAAGAUUGCUGCAUGGCCGGUAAUUUUAUAAAACUUGUUUCAAUAUUAUGUGGAAUGGAGUCGAAAGAAGUGGGGUUCUAGCCGAAGUGCAUAAUUAGCGAAAAGAAGAAGUCGAAGCCAGAUACCGUACCAGGCCUCCAGUCGCCUCCGCAAGAAGAACCAUUGAAUAAUGGUUCAUGAGUUCACACUAAUUUAUUCUGGUUGCGGCAGAAAUUCACAACGGGUCAACAAAACCAAGGUCCAUUCAAACUCACUAAAUCAGAUCCUGAAAGUACCAUCUUUAGCCACUGUUACUGUUGAAUAACUCCAGGCUUUGGAAGAAAAGCUGUGGCCUGCGAACAGCUGUGAAUAUUGGUCGGAGAAGUGUAACUG